Molecule: ribosomal RNA, 116 nt
Filed under: Escherichia coli
Lineage: Bacteria; Pseudomonadati; Pseudomonadota; Gammaproteobacteria; Enterobacterales; Enterobacteriaceae
Source: RNAcentral
UCUGGCGCCAGUAGCGCGGUGGUCCCACCUGACCCCAUGCCGAACUCAGAAGUGAAACGCCGUAGCGCCGAUGGUAGUGUGGGGUCUCCCCAUGCGAGAGUAGGGAACUGCCAGAC